GUGUAGCAGGUGGGCAAGAAGUAAUAGGUUGGUGCCUACUCCUUCCCCCUCUCCAGUUGUAGUUAGUUUCUCUCUUCCUGUCACACAGCACUACGUCAUUAAUUGGGGAAUGGGAUACUAUUCAUUAGGCCACCUGACGUAUUACCCACAGGCUUAUUUAUAGACACCUGGGGUCCUAAAGCCGGUAGCUUGUCAACACCACUGGUUCUGGGGCUGUGUAGCAGAGUCACGGGUGCUGCGUGAAAGCAACAGGAGGGCGAGCCGCUGUAUGUUGAUGUGCAUGUGGGAGAAUGACACCGUGUUGUUGUGCGUAACAAGUGUCUGCUGGGCACCGUACCGUACCGUAGCAGUGAGGGGAGUUGUUCUCCGGAAGCAAUCAGCUACAGUAUUCGUAGCCUUGUUGAAAAGGUAUGUUAUACCUGAUCCGUGUACUGUGUUGCGUACCAGCAGGCCAUAGCGGCCAUUCAUUUUGUACUGAUGGUUGAUGACACUUUAAUGUAGGCUGGCUAACACUUUGCCAUGUAUUGAUGUUUUUAAUUAGUGUUCUGCCAUCGCCGUUUCCAUGUGUGCUACUUUUAAGGCUGUGGGAUUAGCAAAGUUGUUUAGUGUUGUGAUUGCUAUUUUGCACAAUGGUAAAGUACCAGCAACCAUCUUGCCAGUGUUUUUGUUUUAUAUGUUUGCAGUGAUAGACCCUCGCAGCUACACAGGGAUGCUAGUUGCUGUUCUCUUUUUAUGUGUGAUUGAUGCAUUGGUGCCGCUUAUAGUUUGUUUACUUUAUUGUGUUUUUUUUUGUUCCUCUAGCCUAUCGGCCUAUGUAGCCUGUGUAGGUACCACCUAUUUAAUGUGAGCCGCAGGCUAGAGUGGAUUUAUUUUGUUUUUCUUUUUUACUGUACUUCCAGUUCGUGUCUCCCUCCCCCUCCACAGCUAAUAGCCUCGGUAUUGAUAAGGCCCAUUAGUACCUGACCUUGGAUAGCCGGUCUCUGUAGUUUUUCUCACUAGUAGCCUACAGAGAUUGCAGUGUGCAUGUAGUUUGAACUCUUAAUUGCCGUGUCGCAUAUCACAGAGUGUCUUGGAUAUUGUAGUGCAUUUUCCCUGAAUAUAAACACGUGUUAUUUAGUGUGCACAAGACCACGUGUGUUAGAGACCUGGCCUGACAUCAGUUCUCCUAGUGGCCCAUUACCGAGGUUCCCCAGUCCCCCUAUUGUGUCUAUGUAUUUUUUUUAUUAUAUCUGGUGACCAACCAACGCUACUCGUGUCUACUAUUUAUUAAUAAAGACUAUUUUUAUACUUUCACCAAAAA
Molecule: long non-coding RNA, 1300 nt
Organism: Clupea harengus (Atlantic herring)
Lineage: Eukaryota; Metazoa; Chordata; Actinopteri; Clupeiformes; Clupeidae
Exons: 2
Source: RefSeq, a predicted model, not a curated record